Molecule: ribosomal RNA, 253 nt
Filed under: uncultured bacterium
Lineage: Bacteria
Description: partial 16S ribosomal RNA
Rfam family: Bacterial small subunit ribosomal RNA
Source: RNAcentral
UACGGAGGGAGCUAGCGUUGUUCGGAAUUACUGGGCGUAAAGCGUACGUAGGCGGAUGUGUAAGUCAGAGGUGAAAGCCUGGAGCUCAACUCUAGAACUGCCUUUGAGACUGCAUCGCUUGAAUCCGGGAGAGGUGAGUGGAAUUCCGAGUGUAGAGGUGAAAUUCGUAGAUAUUCGGAAGAACACCAGUGGCGAAGGCGGCUCGCUGGACCGGUAUUGACGCUGAGGUGCGAAAGCGUGGGGAGCAAACAGG